This 253-nucleotide ribosomal RNA is filed under the name uncultured bacterium. RNAcentral describes it as "partial 16S ribosomal RNA". It matches the Rfam family "Bacterial small subunit ribosomal RNA", at positions 524 to 776 of the family's 1533-position model. The record is from RNAcentral.
UACGUAGGAGGCGAGCGUUGUUCGGAUUUACUGGGCGUAAAGGGCGCGUAGGCGGCGCAACAAGUCACUUGUGAAAUCUCCGGGCUUAACCCGGAGCGGCCAAGUGAUACUGUCGUGCUAGAGUGCGGAAGGGGCUACUGGAAUUCUCGGUGUAGCGGUGAAAUGCGUAGAUAUCGCUUGGAACGCCAACGGUGAAAACAGGUUGCUGGGGGUGUGCUGACGCUGAGACACGAAAGCCAGGGGAGCGAACGGG